CAAUAGCGUAUAUUAAAGUUGUUGCAGUUAAAAAGCUCGUAGUUGGAUUUGUGGUGUACGGUGUGUUCCGGGCACUUGUUGUCUGAGUAACCUGCUGUUGCCAUCCUUGGGUGGAACCUGUGUGGCAUUAGGUUGUCGUGCAGGGGAUGCCCAUCAUUUACUGUGAAAAAAUUAGAGUGUUCAAAGCAGGCUUAUGCCGUUGAAUAUAUUAGCAUGGAAUAAUGAGAUAGGACUUUUUUGCUAUUUUGUUGGUUUGCGCAAAGAGGUAAUGAUUAAUAGGGACAGUUGGGGGUAUUCGUAUUCCAUUGUCAGAGGUGAAAUUCUUGGAUUUUUGGAAGACGAACUACUGCGAAAGCAUUUACCAAGGAUGUUUUCAUUAA
This 380-nucleotide ribosomal RNA is filed under the name uncultured eukaryote. RNAcentral's name for it is "partial 18S ribosomal RNA". It matches the Rfam family "Eukaryotic small subunit ribosomal RNA", at positions 592 to 976 of the family's 1831-position model. The record is from RNAcentral.